CUCUAGUUCGCUCCGCUGCAGGUUCUCAGUUUCACGGAAAAUCCAUGAGCGCUGACAGCACUGUGAUUGUGUGACACGGAGGUCAAGAUGGAGGUAUUGAAGACAACGCCAGAGAUUAACGGAGUAAUUGCGGAUGAAGAAUACAAAUGAAUACGUAAAAUGUCAGACUGACCCGUGUAAUUGAUAAAGACGCCGAAGAAGGAGACGGACAGAGGGGCCAGGACCAAAGCUGGGCUGUUUUCCAGCUGUGCAGAUACAUGGACUUCCUUUCCCUUACUUCUCUGACCAAUCACAGCACGGCACCUACUCCUUUCUGCUAUGCCAUGACAUGACAGAGUGCGGUGGAGAAGAUGCAAUAGACUGAACUGGCUGGCAUUGUGCUGGAGGUGAAUUACAGUACAGUACAAUACUAUAUAAAUAUGUGGAGUAAGAAGGCAUUAUUAAUACAUUGGAUUUGCAAGGUGUUAUGUGAGCAGAAAGAAAAAAAAUGACAAGCUAAAGGGAAAAGGGAGAAAUAAUUACAGCAAGGGAAGGGUUAUGUCCCAUUACAGCAAGAAAGGGGUUCCAUCACAUCACAGCAUGGAAGGGGUUAUAUCACAUGACAGCAAGGAAGGGGUUAUAUCACAUUUCAGUAAGGAAGUGGUUAUAUCACAUCACAGCAAGGAAGGGGUUACAUCUAAGCAAGGAAGGGGUUAGAUCAUAUUACAUCUAGAAAGGGGUUAUAUCACAUUACAGAAAGGAAGGGGUUAUAUCAUAUUACAGGGGUCUUCUUUUUUCUAGUCUUCAACUUCUUAGACUGGGAGCAUGUGGUGAGUGAGUUUUGUCACCUGUUUCCACUGGUGUGGGGCUAUGCAAUGGCGCCAUGUCUGUAGGCUGCCAUGGCUCAGAGACCGAGGCUAGAUCAGACAGCAUUGGGACUGCCCUGCCACUAGGCAGUUCUACCUCUGGGCACGGCUGUUGUGGUGGUGGUUGCUGCUCGGCACCACAUCAUUAUGUUAGGGACCACCCACAACACACAUGUGGCUGUGACGUGGCGUCCAGGCUUACACAUUAUGAUGAUAACCUAAAUUAAUGACCUGUUAGG
Hyla sarda is the source of this 1084-nucleotide long non-coding RNA. RefSeq lists it as uncharacterized. Lineage: Eukaryota; Metazoa; Chordata; Amphibia; Anura; Hylidae. The record is from RefSeq and is a predicted model, not a curated record. The transcript has 3 exons.